Molecule: ribosomal RNA, 357 nt
Filed under: Grammognatha euphratica
Lineage: Eukaryota; Metazoa; Arthropoda; Insecta; Coleoptera; Carabidae
Description: partial 16S ribosomal RNA
Source: RNAcentral
AAAGGUAGCGUAAUCAUUAGUUUUUUAAUUGAAAGCUUGAAUGAAUGGUUGGACGAGGUAAAAACUGUCUUUAUUUAAUUAUUUAGAAUUUAACUUUUGAGUUAAAAGGCUCAAAUUUAUCUAAAAGACGAGAAGACCCUAUAGAUCUUUAUUUAUUAAGUUUUUGAUUAUAUUAGGAAUGAAUUGAGGAUUAAAAAUUUAAUAAAUUUUAUUGGGGUAAUAUAAAGAUUAAAUUAAUUCUUUGAAUUAUUUAACAAUAAUUUUUGGCUAGUUGAUCCAUUAUUAGUGAUUAUAAGAUUAAGUUACCUUAGGGAUAACAGCGUAAUUCUUUUAAAGAGUUCAUAUCGAUGAAGGAGU